This is a long non-coding RNA of Ananas comosus (pineapple), 244 nucleotides long. RefSeq lists it as uncharacterized. The transcript has 4 exons. NCBI's taxonomy places the organism in Eukaryota, Viridiplantae, Streptophyta, Magnoliopsida, Poales, Bromeliaceae. The record is from RefSeq and is a predicted model, not a curated record.
AGCAGGUUCUUGAACCACUUUGAGCUGAACCUGGGCUCUUAGAAGUUGGUUUGGAGGAUAUUUUAACCAAGGCGAGAGCGCGAUCAAGCCUUGGAUUAUCUUUAGCUGACCUGUGAGGGCUCUUGGAGGCUUAACUUGAGCAGGGCUGAGGCUUGAUUGAGCUGAAUUUCAGGACUCUUGUGGACUGAUUUGAGCCUAGUAAUAGAGCCAUCUACAGGAGAGGCUAGGGAUCGUGGCAAGGGAG